UCUUGGUCAUUUAGAGGAAGUAAAAGUCGUAACAAGGUCUCCGUAGGUGAACCUGCGGAGGGAUCAUUACAGAGUUCAUGCCCUCCGGGUAGAUCUCCCACCCAGUGUUAUCACUACUCUCGUUGCUUUGGCGGGCCGCUGGGCCCUGCCCGGCCGCCGGCCCCGGCUGGCGCGUGCCCGCCAGAGACCUUCACAGACUCUGAAUGUUAGUGUCGUCCGAGUAACUAUACAAUCGUUAAAACUUUCAACAACGGAUCUCUUGGUUCUGGCAUCGAUGAAGAACGCAGCGAAAUGCGAUAAGUAAUGCGAAUUGCAGAAUUCAGUGAGUCAUCGAAUCUUUGAACGCACAUUGCGCCCUGUGGUAUUCCGCAGGGCAUGCCUGUUCGAGCGUCAUUUCAACCCUCAAGCCCCGCUUGGUGUUGGGCCCCGCCCGCCGUGGCCGGCCCUAAAGACAGUGGCGGCGCCGCCUGGCCCUCAGCGUAGUACAGCUUUCGCUCCAGGGUCCGGCGGCCGCCUGCCAGAACCCCCCC
RNAcentral lists this ribosomal RNA (530 nucleotides) under Oidiodendron sp. L2-1-NN-2016. RNAcentral's name for it is "eukaryotic LSU rRNA". The stretch from base 240 to 393 matches the Rfam family "5.8S ribosomal RNA". The record is from RNAcentral. Lineage: Eukaryota; Fungi; Ascomycota; Leotiomycetes; Myxotrichaceae.